AUGCAGAAGUAAUAGUUAACCAGUUUGUAUUUGCCCAAUUUUUCAAACAGCAAGAAGUCAUAAAUAAUUUCCAAGAUAAAUUUUCUCUUGGUAUUUGUUGUCGCUUUAAUAACAACAAACUCACACAAACCAUUAGCAUGUACUACUACAGCAUCUGGUUGGAUUAAACACUGGUUGACGGUAAACACUGGUUUAAAAAUAAUCGCUGCUUUUUUGUUUUGUACUGCAGCUUCGAUUUGUUUUUCGGUAAAUUGGAUUUUUUCGGUAACAGUGGCUUUUAACCCUAAGUUGUCAGUGUCUAAAAUAUUGUCUAAGUGGAAAUAGCUAGCAAUAUCUUUUUUGGCCUUUUCAAUAAUGAUUUGUGCCUCUUUAACCCGAGGAUUUUUACUAUCAAAUAAUAGUUCUGGCGCUUCGUUGAGUAGCUCUAAAAUAUCUAUUUCAAAUACCGGAUCUUCAAUUAGAUCUUCUUGCACAUCAAUUUCGGUAUCGACCUGCUUAUGGUGCUUUUUUAACAAUUGACUAGCAGCGCCAAAAACAUCAGCGUAAGACAGAGGAAUCAACUCCUUUGAGCGAUCAAAGUUUUUUAAAAAAAAGGCCUUGGUGAGCAUUAAUGAAAAAAUUUACCUUCAGCAAAAGGAUGUUUACCGUUAAUUAUUUCUGACACUCCCAUUGCCCGCUUUCCCGGAAUUUGAAUUAUUUGGAGUAGAACAAUUUCAUCAUUAGCUAAGGCGAUUUCUAUACCUUGUUUAGAAAUUUUAGUGAUUUGACCAACUGCGGUUGUACUUGUCAUUUUGCCCAAGUAAGUUGCUUGGAGAAUUUUAAUGUUUUGUCCUUCAAAUUCCAGUCAACCACCAGGUUUAGGUGCCAACCCUUUCACCCAAUUGAUGAAUGCUUUUGGUUCCAAAUUGAGGUCAAGUCUUUCUUGUUCCUUUUUAAUAUUCAAACCAAAAGUAGGUGGAUUAAUUUGCUCUUUUCAUUGACUCUUACCACUUACAAUUUCCUUAAGGCACUGGAUCAGAAAUUGCGGUGCGUGAGUUUGCACGUAUUCAAAUAGAUCACCGGUAUUCCAAUUGGGAUUCACCUUAAAGUCCUUUUGCUUUCAAAUCGGACCAGCAUCCAUUUUUUGUACGAGUUCAAUCACACUUAAACUAGAGGUCGUAAAACCGUUAAUAAUGGUUCAGUGCAAUGGUGC
Molecule: small RNA, 1192 nt
Filed under: Mycoplasmoides pneumoniae M129
Lineage: Bacteria; Bacillati; Mycoplasmatota; Mycoplasmoidales; Mycoplasmoidaceae
Description: Mycoplasma pneumoniae M129 ncRNA
Source: RNAcentral